GUUGUCAUUUAAAGGUAUUACCAUUUGGGGAAUACAGAUAUACAUAAUACCACAGAAAUGUUAUAUCUUGGAUUACAAACAUUGAUCAGAAAUAGAGUACGGAAAGAGAGUUCAAUCUUACUCCAAAGAGGAGAGCUUGACUGUGACUUGACCCAGACUGAGAUGAGACCAAGGUAGGGCGAGACAGGGCCUUCUGGCUGUGCAGAAACAUUCCUAGAGACUUGGACAAGGUGACAAAAUUUGCACAUAUUCUUGGAAACCAUGGACUAGGCCAUCUAGAGAAGGCACUGUUAAAAGGGUUGGAAGACAUAGCAGUUCCUGUCACAGAAACAACUCCCA
Molecule: unclassified non-coding RNA, 339 nt
Filed under: Lingula anatina
Lineage: Eukaryota; Metazoa; Brachiopoda; Lingulata; Lingulida; Lingulidae
Description: kinetochore protein SLK19, transcript variant X2
Source: RNAcentral